UACGGAGGGGGCAAGCGUUAUUCGGAAUCAUUGGGCGUAAAGGGCGCGUAGGCGGCCUGGCAAGUCAAAGGUGAAAUCCCUCGGCCUAACCGAGGAACUGCCUUUGAAACUGCAAGGCUCGAGGCCGGGAGAGGGUAGCGGAAUUCCCAGUGUAGCGGUGAAAUGCGUAGAUAUUGGGAGGAACACCAGUGGCGAAGGCGGCUACCUGGACCGGUUCUGACGCUGAUGCGCGAAAGCGUGGGGAGCAAACAGG
Molecule: ribosomal RNA, 253 nt
Filed under: uncultured bacterium
Lineage: Bacteria
Description: partial 16S ribosomal RNA
Rfam family: Bacterial small subunit ribosomal RNA
Source: RNAcentral